GUUUUUGUGUUGCAUGUGGCAUUCAGGCAGGGAUUGGUGGUCCAACCUGCAUAAUCUUCCAGGUUGUUUUCUGAUAUUAUUGAUGGUUGAAUCAUCUGUCAGAUACUUUCCUGGAAAGCCAAAUUGAAUUCUUUUGCUUUUUAUUUCUUUCUCCACCUCCUUCAAAUAUCAUAGAUUAAACUAGGUAGUGUAUCAUCCUUCUCAUUGGACUGAGGAAACAUUGAUAAUUUUUACCAGUAGGAAGAACUGAAGUACUUGUAUCCUGUUUGUGCAACUACAAAGGAAAAGCUAAAGAAAACAAAAUGGAUAAAGUAAUCACAAGUGGUGGGAAGAUGA
This 336-nucleotide unclassified non-coding RNA is filed under the name Hevea brasiliensis (rubber tree). Lineage: Eukaryota; Viridiplantae; Streptophyta; Magnoliopsida; Malpighiales; Euphorbiaceae. The record is from RNAcentral.